UCGAGGAUCUUUAGCAAUGGACGAAAGUCUGACUAUGCGACGCCGCAUGAGGGAUGAAGGCUUUCGGUUCGUAAACCUCUUUCGAUGGGAAAGAAAAUCUUUACGGAAACGUAGAGACUGACGGUACCCAGAGAAGAAGCCACGGCCAACUCCGUGCCAGCAGCCGCGGUAAUACGGGGGUGGCGGGCGUUACUCGGAUGUAUUGGGUGUAAAGGGCAGGUAGGCGUCCUUUCAAGUUAGAAGUGAAAUCCUUUGGCUCAACCAAAGAACUGCUUCUAAAACGGAAAGGAUUGAGGCCAGAAGAGGAGAGCGGAAUUCCCGGUGUAAGGGUGAAAUCUGUAGAUAUCGGGAGGAACACCAGAGGCGAAGGCGGCUCUCUGGUCUGGCCCUGACGCUAAGCUGCGAAAGCUAGGGGAGCAAACA
This 423-nucleotide ribosomal RNA is filed under the name uncultured prokaryote. RNAcentral describes it as "bacterial SSU rRNA". It matches the Rfam family "Bacterial small subunit ribosomal RNA", at positions 355 to 774 of the family's 1533-position model. The record is from RNAcentral.